RNAcentral lists this ribosomal RNA (433 nucleotides) under uncultured bacterium. Its description in RNAcentral is "partial 16S ribosomal RNA". It matches the Rfam family "Bacterial small subunit ribosomal RNA", at positions 29 to 507 of the family's 1533-position model. The record is from RNAcentral.
AACGAACGCUGGCGGCAUGCCUAACACAUGCAAGUCGAACGAGACCUUCGGGUCUAGUGGCGCACGGGUGCGUAACGCGUGGGAACCUGCCCUUAGGUUCGGAAUAACUCCCCGAAAGGGGUGCUAAUACCGGAUAAUGUCUUCGGACCAAAGAUUUAUCGCCUUUGGAUGGGCCCGCGUUGGAUUAGCUAGUUGGUAGGGUAAAAGCCUACCAAGGCGACGAUCCAUAGCUGGUCUGAGAGGAUGAUCAGCCACACUGGGACUGAGACACGGCCCAGACUCCUACGGGAGGCAGCAGUGGGGAAUAUUGGACAAGGGGCGAAAGCCUGAUCCAGCAAUGCCGCGUGAGUGAUGAAGGCCUUAGGGUUGUAAAGCUUUUUUACCCGGGAUGAUAAUGACAGUACCGGGAGAAUAAGCGCCGGCUAACUCCGUG